AAACUUUCAACAACGGAUCUCUUGGCUCUGGCAUCGAUGAAGAACGCAGCGAAAUGCGAUAAGUAAUGUGAAUUGCAGAAUUUAGUGAAUCAUCGAAUCUUUGAACGCACAUUGCGCCCCUUGGUAUUCCGAGGGGCAUGCCUGUUC
RNAcentral lists this ribosomal RNA (147 nucleotides) under Golovinomyces biocellatus. RNAcentral's name for it is "5.8S ribosomal RNA". It matches the Rfam family "5.8S ribosomal RNA". Rfam says of the family: 5.8S ribosomal RNA (5.8S rRNA) is a component of the large subunit of the eukaryotic ribosome. It is transcribed by RNA polymerase I as part of the 45S precursor that also contains 18S and 28S rRNA. Lineage: Eukaryota; Fungi; Ascomycota; Leotiomycetes; Helotiales; Erysiphaceae. The record is from RNAcentral.